Molecule: transfer RNA, 85 nt
Filed under: Candidatus Levyibacteriota bacterium
Lineage: Bacteria; Candidatus Levyibacteriota
Description: tRNA-Leu
Rfam family: tRNA
About the family: Transfer RNA (tRNA) molecules are approximately 80 nucleotides in length. Their secondary structure includes four short double-helical elements and three loops (D, anti-codon, and T loops). Further hydrogen bonds mediate the characteristic L-shaped molecular structure. tRNAs have two regions of fundamental functional importance: the anti-codon, which is responsible for specific mRNA codon recognition, and the 3' end, to which the tRNAs corresponding amino acid is attached (by aminoacyl-tRNA synthetases). tRNAs cope with the degeneracy of the genetic code in two manners: having more than one tRNA (with a specific anti-codon) for a particular amino acid; and 'wobble' base-pairing, i.e. permitting non-standard base-pairing at the 3rd anti-codon position.
Source: RNAcentral
GGCGCGGUGGUGGAACGGUAGACACGCAAGUCUCAAAAACUUGUGAGUGUAAAAGCUCAUGAGAGUUCGAAUCUCUCCCGCGCCA